UACGUAGGGGGCAAGCGUUGUCCGGAUUUAUUGGGCGUAAAGCGCUCGCAGGUGGUUCGUUGCGUCGUGCGUGAAAGGCCCCGGCUCAACUGGGGAGGGUCGUGCGAUACGGGCGGACUGGAGGCCAGUAGGGGGAUGCGGAAUUCCGGGUGUAGUGGUGGAAUGCGUAGAGAUCCGGAGGAACACCAGCGGCGAAGGCGGCAUCCUGGACUGGUCCUGACACUCAGGAACGAAAGCGUGGGGAGCGAUCCGG
This 253-nucleotide ribosomal RNA is filed under the name uncultured bacterium. Its description in RNAcentral is "partial 16S ribosomal RNA". It matches the Rfam family "Bacterial small subunit ribosomal RNA", at positions 524 to 776 of the family's 1533-position model. The record is from RNAcentral.